RNAcentral lists this ribosomal RNA (420 nucleotides) under Eutropis multifasciata (many-lined sun skink). RNAcentral describes it as "partial 16S ribosomal RNA". It matches the Rfam family "Bacterial large subunit ribosomal RNA", at positions 1969 to 2589 of the family's 2925-position model. Lineage: Eukaryota; Metazoa; Chordata; Lepidosauria; Squamata; Scincidae. The record is from RNAcentral.
UUGUCUUCUAAAUAAAGACUAGUAUGAACGGCUAAAUGAGGACAAAACUGUCUCUUAUGACUAAUCAGUGAAACUGAUCUACCAGUACAAAAGCUGGUAUUACUACAUAAGACGAGAAGACCCUGUGGAGCUUAAAACAAACCACUACCCCCAUAAGACCCCCUAGUGUACUGUUUUAAGUUGGGGCGACUUCGGAACAAAACAAAACUUCCGAGCAUAGAUCCACCAGAUCAAACCAAGGCCUACAAGCCAAAAUAAAAACUGACCCGGCCCAAGCCGAUCAACGAACCAAGUUACCCCAGGGAUAACAGCGCUAUCUUCUUCAAGAGUCCAUAUCGACAAGAAGGUUUACGACCUCGAUGUUGGAUCAGGACACCCAAGUGGUGCAGCCGCUACUAAAGGUUCGUUUGUUCAACGAUU